RNAcentral lists this ribosomal RNA (508 nucleotides) under uncultured bacterium. RNAcentral describes it as "partial 16S ribosomal RNA". It matches the Rfam family "Bacterial small subunit ribosomal RNA", at positions 28 to 523 of the family's 1533-position model. The record is from RNAcentral.
GACGAACGCUGGCGGCGCGCUUAACACAUGCAAGUCGAGCGAGAACCAGGACUUCGGUCCCGGGGACAGCGGCGAACGGGUGGGUAACACGUGGAUAACCUGCCCUCGGCACCGGGAUAGCCCGGGGAAACCCGGAUUAAUACCGGAUGGCCCUUCCGGCUCACGAGCCGGUCGGAAAAGGUAGCUUCGGCCUCCGGCCGAGGAUGGGUCCGCGGCGGAUUAGCUUGUUGGUGGGGUAACGGCCUACCAAGGCGCCGAUCCGUAGCUGGUCUGAGAGGACGAUCAGCCACACUGGGACUGAGACACGGCCCAGACUCCUACGGGAGGCAGCCGUGGGGAAGCGUGCGCAAUGGGCGAAAGCCUGACGCAGCGACGCCGCGUGGGGGAGGAAGGCCUUCGGGUUGUAAACCUCUUUCAGGAGGGACGAAGCUACUCGGGUGAAUAGCCCAGAGGGUGACGGUACCUCCAGAAGAAGCCCCGGCUAACUACGUGCCAGCCGCCGCAGUAA